This 271-nucleotide long non-coding RNA is filed under the name Lathyrus oleraceus (garden pea). Its description in RNAcentral is "Pisum sativum (pea) long non-coding RNA (PSAT_LNC005219)". The record is from RNAcentral. Lineage: Eukaryota; Viridiplantae; Streptophyta; Magnoliopsida; Fabales; Fabaceae.
AUAAGUGCAAAUUCCAUUAAAAAUAUUGCGAAUAAAUGAAUCCUAAUUUCUUUCGUUUCAAUUGAACCUUCAACCGAUUUUGGUUGCAAUUUUUGUCUUUUGCCUAUGUCUAAGUAGGGAGCAUUAUUGCAUAAAUUUUGUCUUGAAGUCUAAAGUUGGGGAGAGUAACUUAGAAGAGUUGAUAAAAACUUGAAAAAGUUGUGUUUUAGAAAAGGUGAAAGUGUGAAAAGAAACAAGAACAAUAAGUCACCUUUGAAAUUAUGGAGCUAGU